Molecule: transfer RNA, 75 nt
Filed under: Clostridium sardiniense
Lineage: Bacteria; Bacillati; Bacillota; Clostridia; Eubacteriales; Clostridiaceae
Description: tRNA-Arg
Rfam family: tRNA
About the family: Transfer RNA (tRNA) molecules are approximately 80 nucleotides in length.
Source: RNAcentral
GCCCCUAUAGUUUAAUGGAUAGAAUAGUCCCCUCCUAAGGGAUAGAUACAGGUUCGAUUCCUGUUAGGGGUGCCA